Molecule: ribosomal RNA, 1344 nt
Filed under: uncultured bacterium
Lineage: Bacteria
Description: bacterial SSU rRNA
Rfam family: Bacterial small subunit ribosomal RNA
Source: RNAcentral
CCUGGCUCAGGAUGAACGCUAGCUACAGGCUUAACACAUGCAAGUCGAGGGGCAGCAUUUCAGUUUGCUUGCAAACUGGAGAUGGCGACCGGCGCACGGGUGAGUAACACGUAUCCAACCUGCCGAUAACUCGGGGAUAGCCUUUCGAAAGAAAGAUUAAUACCCGAUGGCAUAAUUAGACCGCAUGGUCUUAUUAUUAAAGAAUUUCGGUUAUCGAUGGGGAUGCGUUCCAUUAGGCAGUUGGUGAGGUAACGGCUCACCAAACCUUCGAUGGAUAGGGGUUCUGAGAGGAAGGUCCCCCACAUUGGAACUGAGACACGGUCCAAACUCCUACGGGAGGCAGCAGUGAGGAAUAUUGGUCAAUGGACGAGAGUCUGAACCAGCCAAGUAGCGUGAAGGAUGACUGCCCUAUGGGUUGUAAACUUCUUUUAUAUGGGAAUAAAGUUUUCCACGUGUGGAAUUUUGUAUGUACCAUAUGAAUAAGGAUCGGCUAACUCCGUGCCAGCAGCCGCGGUAAUACGGAGGAUCCGAGCGUUAUCCGGAUUUAUUGGGUUUAAAGGGAGCGUAGGUGGACAGUUAAGUCAGUUGUGAAAGUUUGCGGCUCAACCGUAAAAUUGCAGUUGAUACUGGCUGUCUUGAGUACAGUAGAGGUGGGCGGAAUUCGUGGUGUAGCGGUGAAAUGCUUAGAUAUCACGAAGAACUCCGAUUGCGAAGGCAGCUCACUGGACUGCAACUGACACUGAUGCUCGAAAGUGUGGGUAUCAAACAGGAUUAGAUACCCUGGUAGUCCACACAGUAAACGAUGAAUACUCGCUGUUUGCGAUAUACAGUAAGCGGCCAAGCGAAAGCAUUAAGUAUUCCACCUGGGGAGUACGCCGGCAACGGUGAAACUCAAAGGAAUUGACGGGGGCCCGCACAAGCGGAGGAACAUGUGGUUUAAUUCGAUGAUACGCGAGGAACCUUACCCGGGCUUAAAUUGCAUUUGAAUAUAUUGGAAACAGUAUAGCCGUAAGGCAAAUGUGAAGGUGCUGCAUGGUUGUCGUCAGCUCGUGCCGUGAGGUGUCGGCUUAAGUGCCAUAACGAGCGCAACCCUUAUCUUUAGUUACUAACAGGUCAUGCUGAGGACUCUAGAGAGACUGCCGUCGUAAGAUGUGAGGAAGGUGGGGAUGACGUCAAAUCAGCACGGCCCUUACGUCCGGGGCUACACACGUGUUACAAUGGGGGGUACAGAAGGCAGCUACCUGGUGACAGGAUGCUAAUCCCAAAAGCCUCUCUCAGUUCGGAUCGAAGUCUGCAACCCGACUUCGUGAAGCUGGAUUCGCUAGUAAUCGCGCAUCAGCCAUA